AUGUAUAACGACCAUCACAAUCUUUUUGGGGAUCUUGCAUAUGAAGUCAAAGAUUUUCUGCAUGGCAAGCCUCUUUGGGAGGAUUAUUAUAUCCACUGGACGUACUAUCAUAUGAAUUUCACUGCAAAGACCAGAGGAUCUUAUGGUGUUGACACUAGCAACCUAUUCUUUGCUGAAGUCAAAUAUAAUCGAGGAGAUGAUGGAUUGACGGUGAACAGUUGCUGUAUACUUGAACCUUCUUCUUAUCAUGGCCUCUGCUAUGGUUGUGGAGGUGAUAUGAAGCACCCCAAUGAUGGUAAUGCAUAUGCUUGUGGUCGGCGGAACAUCUCGUAUCAUUUUCAGAAUGGUGCACCUGAACUACCUCCGGACUACUUCGAUGACCGCUACAAUGAGAACUCUGAUGAAGAGGUGGAAAGACUGAGAUUUCAGUUCAAGGUAAUGGCGUAUUCCUAG
RNAcentral lists this ribosomal RNA (453 nucleotides) under Triticum aestivum (bread wheat). Its description in RNAcentral is "partial small subunit ribosomal RNA". Lineage: Eukaryota; Viridiplantae; Streptophyta; Magnoliopsida; Poales; Poaceae. The record is from RNAcentral.